This 1051-nucleotide small RNA is filed under the name Pongo abelii (Sumatran orangutan). RNAcentral describes it as "retained intron". Lineage: Eukaryota; Metazoa; Chordata; Mammalia; Primates; Hominidae. The record is from RNAcentral.
ACCUCCAAUUUGACCCACACCAUGACUCACCUGGGCAUCAGCAGGGGCAUGGGUCUGGGCCCAGGCUGUGAUGCACCAGGUGAGUGGCUGUCCUGGCCAUGUGCCCACUGGGUGCUGCCUGGCUGGAGGGAUGAAGGGAAGGGAGGUUUGAGCACCUGAGAUCCUGCUGUGAUCACCUACACUGCUUGUUACCUCUGCACCCCAGGAUUCCCUCACGGCAGUUCUCAGCCAGUGAUAACUGGUAGGUGUGGUGUUUCCUAGAAAGAAGAGGAAGGGCAGCCCCCAGAUGGGCAGUGCUAUCAGGGAUAGAGUAGGGAGGAUGUUGUGUUGCCGCUUUCAUAGUCUGGUCACUGCCACCCAUUCUGGGUGGAAAGGGGCUCAGUUCCCAUCAGUAACCGUUGGCAUCUCUGGUUUUUUGUCUGUGCCUGCAGGACUUCAUUCACCUCUCAGCCACCCAUCCCUGCAGUCCUCCCUAAGCAAUCCCAACCUCCAGGCUUCCCUGAGCAGUCCUCAGCCCCAGCUUCAGGGCUCCCACAGCCACCCCUCUCUGCCUGCCUCCUCCUUGGCCCGCCAUGCACUGCCCACCACCUCCCUGGGCCACCCCUCACUCAGUGCUCCGGCUCUCUCCUCCUCCUCUUCCUCCUCCUCCACUUCAUCUCCUGUUUUGGGUGCCCCCCCUUACCCUGCUUCUACCCCUGGGGCCUCCCCCCACCACCGCCGUGUGCCCCUCAGCCCCCUGAGUUUGCUCGCGGGCCCAGCCGACGCCAGAAGGUCCCAACAGCAGCUGCCCAAACAGUUUUCGCCAACAAUGUCACCCACCUUGUCUUCCAUCACUCAGGGCGUCCCCCUGGAUACCAGUAAACUGUCCAUUGACCAGCGGUUGCCCCCAUACCCAUACAGCUCCCCAAGUCUGGUUCUGCCUACCCAGCCACACACCCCAAAGUCUCUACAGCAGCCAGGGCUGCCCUCUCAGUCUUGUUCAGUGCAGUCCUCAGUUGGGCAGCCCCCAGGCAGGCAGUCUCAUUAUGGGACACUGUACCCAUCUGGGCCC